Molecule: non-coding RNA, 539 nt
Filed under: Thomasclavelia spiroformis DSM 1552
Lineage: Bacteria; Bacillati; Bacillota; Erysipelotrichia; Erysipelotrichales; Coprobacillaceae
Description: Clostridium spiroforme DSM 1552 Bacterial small subunit ribosomal RNA
Rfam family: Bacterial small subunit ribosomal RNA
Source: Rfam by way of RNAcentral
GAGUUUGAUCCUGGCUCAGGAUGAACGCUGGCGGCGUGCCUAAUACAUGCAAGUCGAACGCGAGCAGCAAUGCUCGAGUGGCGAACGGGUGAGUAAUACAUAAGUAACCUGCCCUAGACAGGGGGAUAACUGCUGGAAACGGCAGCUAAGACCGCAUAGGUAUGGACACUGCAUGGUGACCAUAUUAAAAGUGCCAAGGCACUGGUAGAGGAUGGACUUAUGGCGCAUUAGCUGGUUGGUGAGGUAACGGCUCACCAAGGCGACGAUGCGUAGCCGACCUGAGAGGGUGACCGGCCACACUGGGACUGAGACACGGCCCAGACUCCUACGGGAGGCAGCAGUAGGGAAUUUUCGGCAAUGGGGGGAACCCUGACCGAGCAACGCCGCGUGAAGGAAGAAGGAAUUCGUUCUGUAAACUUCUGUUAUAAAGGAAGAACGCGGAUAUAGGGAAUGAUAUCCGAGUGACGGUACUUUAUGAGAAGCCACGGCUAACUACGUGCAGCAGCCGCGGUAAUAACGUAGGUGGCGAAGCGUUAUCC